AUGCACUUUCCCAGGGAGAAAGCUACCAACAACACUGCUGAGUACGAAGGGCUGCUUGCCGGUCUCAGGAUCGCAAUGGACCUUGGAAUCAGAAAGCUCAUUAUCAGAGGUGACUCACAACUUGUUGUGAAGCACAUCAACAAAGAUUAUCAGAGCCCAUUGAUGGAUGCAUAUGUUGAUGAAGUGAGAAAAUUGGAAGAGCUUUUUGACGGAUUGCAAACAGAGCACAUUCCUCGUGCGGAGAACACCAUUGAUUAUGAUCUAUCGAAGCGUGCCGCCCAGAAGCUACCUGUCGAACCAGGAACAUUUGUGCUCCAUUUGACUCAGCCAUCUGUUACACAAUCAAUGCGGUAG
Molecule: ribosomal RNA, 354 nt
Filed under: Triticum aestivum (bread wheat)
Lineage: Eukaryota; Viridiplantae; Streptophyta; Magnoliopsida; Poales; Poaceae
Description: partial small subunit ribosomal RNA
Source: RNAcentral